Molecule: ribosomal RNA, 468 nt
Filed under: uncultured bacterium
Lineage: Bacteria
Description: partial 16S ribosomal RNA
Rfam family: Bacterial small subunit ribosomal RNA
Source: RNAcentral
GACGAACGCUGGCGGCGUGCUUAACACAUGCCAGUCGAACGGAAAGGCCCUGCUUUUGUGGGGUGCUCGAGUGGCGAACGGGUGAGUAACACGUGAGUAACCUGCCCUUGACUUUGGGAUAACUUCAGGAAACUGGGGCUAAUACCGGAUAGGAGCUCCUGCUGCAUGGUGUGGGUUGGAAAGUUUCGGCGGUAGGGGAUGGACUCGCGGCUUAUCAGCUUGUUGGUGGGGUAGUGGCUUACCAAGCCUUUGACGGGUAGCCGGCCUGAGAGGGUGAACGGCCACAUUGGGACUGAGAUACGGCCCAGUCUCCUACGGGAGGCAGCAGUGGGGAAUAUUGCACAAUGGGCGGAAGCCUGAUGCAGCAACGCCGCGUGCGGGAUGACGGCCUUCGGGUUGUAAACCGCUUUCGCCUGUGACGAAGCGUGAGUGACGGUAAUGGGUAAAGAAGCACCGGCUAACUACGUG